GGGAUUCUGUAGCUUCCU
RNAcentral lists this microRNA (18 nucleotides) under Homo sapiens (human). Its description in RNAcentral is "hsa-miR-4320". The record is from miRBase by way of RNAcentral. Lineage: Eukaryota; Metazoa; Chordata; Mammalia; Primates; Hominidae.